UGAAUACGAGACGCUAAGGCGUCGAAGUAGUGUAUGUCAUACUUCCAAGAAAAGCUUGCACUGUCAUAGAUAAAAAACGCCUGUACCAUAACCGACACAGGUGGGCAGGUAGAGUAUACUAAGGGGCGCGAGAUAACUCUCUCUAAGGAACUCGGCAAAAUAACUCCGUAACUUCGGGAGAAGGAGUGCCUUAUUCGUAAGGUUGCAAUAACAAGAUCCAAGCAACUGUUUAUCAAAAACACAGGUCUCCGCUAAGUCGUAAGACGAUGUAUGGGGGCUGACGCCUGCCCAGUGCCAGAAGGUUAAAGAAGUUGGUUAGCAAUUGCGAAGCUGAUAACUGAAGCCCUGGUGAACGGCGGCCGUAACAAUAACGGUCCUAAGGUAGCGAAAUUCCUUGUCGGGUAAGUUCCGACCCGCACGAAAGGCGUAAUGAUUUGGAUACUGUCUCGGAGAGGGGCUCGGUGAAAUAGACUUGUCUGUGAAGAUGCGGACUACCUGCACCAGGACAGAAAGACCCUAUGAAGCUUUACUGUAACUUGAAAUUGAAAUUGGACUUUAUUCGCGCAGCAUAGGUGGGAGGCGUUGAUUAUAAUCUUGCGGGAUUAUUGGAGCCAUCAGUGAGAUACCACUCUUGUAAUGUUAGAUUUCUAACUUUGAAUCAUUAUCUGGUCAAAGAACAGUUUCAGGCGGGCAGUUUGACUGGGGCGGUCGCCUCCUAAACGGUAACGGAGGCGUACAAAGGUUUCCUCUGAACGGUUAGAAAUCGUAUCUAGAGUGUAAAGGCAUAAGGAAGCUUGACUGUGAGACCUACAAGUCGAGCAGGGACGAAAGUCGGUCUUAGUGAUCUGACGGUACUGAGUGGAAAGGCCGUCACUCAACGGAUAAAAGUUACUCUAGGAUAACAGGCUGAUCUCCCCCAAGAGUUCACAUCGACGGGGAGGUUUGGCACCUCGAUGUCGGCUCAUCGCAUCCUGGGGCGGUAGUACGUCCCAAGGGUUGGGCUGUUCGCCCAUGAAAGCGGUACGCGAGCUGGGUUCAGAACGUCGUGAGACAGUUCGGUCCAUAUCCGGUGUAGGCGUUAGAAUAUUGAGAGGAGCCUUCUUUAGUACGAGAGGACCGAGAAGGACAUACCUCUGGUGUACCAGUUAUCGUGCCAACGGUAAACGCUGGGUAGCUAUGUAUGGAGUGGAUAACCGCUGAAAGCAUCUAAGUGGGAAGCCCACCUCAAGAUAAGUAUUCUCAC
RNAcentral lists this ribosomal RNA (1243 nucleotides) under metagenome. RNAcentral describes it as "bacterial LSU rRNA". It matches the Rfam family "Bacterial large subunit ribosomal RNA", at positions 1564 to 2817 of the family's 2925-position model. The record is from RNAcentral.